CCUACGGGGGGCAGCAGUGAGGAAUAUUGGUCAAUGGGCGCGAGCCUGAACCAGCCAAGUAGCGUGAAGGAUGACGGCCCUACGGGUUGUAAACUUCUUUUAUAAAGGAAUAAAGGGAGGCACGUGUGCCUUUUUGUAUGUACUUGAUGAAUAAGGAUCGGCUAACUCCGUGCCAGCAGCCGCGGUAAUACGGAGCAUCCGAGCGUUAUCCGGAUUUAUUGGGUUUAAAGGGAGCGUAGAUGGGUUGUUAAGUCAGUUGUGAAAGUUUGCGGCUCAACCGUAAAAUGGCAAUUGAUACUGGCAGCCUUGAGUACAGUUGAGGUAGGCGGACUUCGUGGUGUAGCGGUGACAUGCUUAGCUAUCAC
This 365-nucleotide ribosomal RNA is filed under the name uncultured bacterium. RNAcentral's name for it is "partial 16S ribosomal RNA". It matches the Rfam family "Bacterial small subunit ribosomal RNA", at positions 338 to 700 of the family's 1533-position model. The record is from RNAcentral.